UAGGGAAUCUUCCACAAUGGACGAAAGUCUGAUGGAGCAACGCCGCGUGAGUGAAGAAGGUUUUCGGAUCGUAAAGCUCUGUUGUUGGUGAAGAAGGAUAGAGGCAGUAACUGGUCUUUAUUUGACGGUAAUCAACCAGAGAGUCACGGCUAACUACGUGCCA
This 163-nucleotide ribosomal RNA is filed under the name uncultured bacterium. RNAcentral's name for it is "partial 16S rRNA". It matches the Rfam family "Bacterial small subunit ribosomal RNA", at positions 355 to 510 of the family's 1533-position model. The record is from RNAcentral.